GAUGAACGCUAGCUACAGGCUUAACACAUGCAAGUCGAGGGGAAGCGACAUCGAAAGCUUGCUUUUGAUGGGCGUCGACCGGCGCACGGGUGAGUAACGCGUAUCCAACCUGCCCAUCACUUGGGAAUAACCUUGCGAAAGUAAGACUAAUACCCAAUGACAUCCCACGAAGACAUCUGAAUGGGAUUAAAGAUUUAUCGGUGAUGGAUGGGGAUGCGUCUGAUUAGCUUGUUGGCGGGGUAACGGCCCACCAAGGCAACGAUCAGUAGGGGUUCUGAGAGGAAGGUCCCCCACAUUGGAACUGAGACACGGUCCAAACUCCUACGGGAGGCAGCAGUGAGGAAUAUUGGUCAAUGGGCGAGAGCCUGAACCAGCCAAGUAGCGUGCAGGAUGACGGCCCUAUGGGUGGUAAACUGCUUUUAUAAGGGAAUAAAGUGGGUCUCGUGAGACUUUUUGCAUGUACCUUAUGAAUAAGGACCGGCUAAUUCCGUG
This 492-nucleotide ribosomal RNA is filed under the name uncultured bacterium. Its description in RNAcentral is "partial 16S ribosomal RNA". It matches the Rfam family "Bacterial small subunit ribosomal RNA", at positions 28 to 507 of the family's 1533-position model. The record is from RNAcentral.